RNAcentral lists this transfer RNA (69 nucleotides) under Ictidomys tridecemlineatus (thirteen-lined ground squirrel). Its description in RNAcentral is "Spermophilus tridecemlineatus (thirteen-lined ground squirrel) tRNA". It matches the Rfam family "tRNA". Rfam says of the family: Transfer RNA (tRNA) molecules are approximately 80 nucleotides in length. Their secondary structure includes four short double-helical elements and three loops (D, anti-codon, and T loops). Lineage: Eukaryota; Metazoa; Chordata; Mammalia; Rodentia; Sciuridae. The record is from Rfam by way of RNAcentral.
GGAGUUGUGGCUCAGUGGUAGAGCACUUGCCUCACAUGCAUGGAACACUGGGUUCAAUCCUUACCACCA